AUAUACGACCGUACCGCAAACCGACACUGGUGCGCGAGAUGAGUAUUCUAAGGCGCUUGAGAGAACUCAGGAGAAGGAACUCGGCAAAUUGACACCGUAACUUCGGAAGAAGGUGUGCCCUAUUAGUGUGUAGUGAACAACGAAGCAUGAAUGGGUUGCAAAAAAUCGGUGGCUGCGACUGUUUAUUAAAAACACAGCACUCUGCAAACACGAAAGUGGACGUAUAGGGUGUGACGCCUGCCCGGUGCUGGAAGAUUAAAUGAUGGGGUGCAAGCUCUUGAUUGAAGUCCCAGUAAACGGCGGCCGUAACAAUAACGGUCCUAAGGUAGCGAAAUUCCUUGUCGGGUAAGUUCCGACCUGCACGAAUGGCGUAACGAUGGCCACACUGUCUCCUCCUGAGACUCAGCGAAGUUGAAAUGUUUGUGAUGAUGCAAUCUCCCCGCGGAAAGACGGAAAGACCCCAUGAACCUUUACUGUAGCUUUGUAUUGGACUUUGAACAGAUCUGUGUAGGAUAGGUGGGAGGCUUUGAAGCAGGGUCGCUAGAUCUUGUGGAGCCAACGUUGAAAUACCACCCUGGUGUGUUUGAGGUUCUAACCUAGGUCCAUUAUCUGGAUCGGGGACAGUGCAUGGUAGGCAGUUUGACUGGGGCGGUCUCCUCCCAAAGCGUAACGGAGGAGUUCGAAGGUACGCUAGUUACGGUCGGACAUCGUGACGAUAGUGCAAUGGCAUAAGCGUGCUUAACUGCGAGACUGACAAGUCGAGCAGAUGCGAAAGCAGGACAUAGUGAUCCGGUGGUUCUGUAUGGAAGGGCCUUCGCUCAACGGAUAAAAGGUACUCUGGGGAUAACAGGCUGAUACCGCCCAAGAGUUCAUAUCGACGGCGGUGUUUGGCACCUCGAUGUCGGCUCAUCUCAUCCUGGGGCUGUAGCCGGUCCCAAGGGUAUGGCUGUUCGCCAUUUAAAGAGGUACGUGAGCUGGGUUUAAAACGUCGUGAGACAGUUUGGUCCCUAUCUUCCGUGGGCGCUGCAGAUUUGAGGAAGCCUGCUCCUAGUACGAGAGGACCGGAGUGGACACACCUCUGGUGUAUCGGUUGUCACGCCAGUGGCAUUGCCGAGUAGCUAAGUGUGGAAGAGAUAACCGCUGAAAGCAUCUAAGCGGGAAACUCGUUUCAAGAUGAGAUCUGCCGGGGCCUUGAGCCCCCUAAAGAGUCGUUCAAGACCAGGACGUUGAUAGGUCAGGUGUGGAAGC
RNAcentral lists this ribosomal RNA (1248 nucleotides) under metagenome. RNAcentral's name for it is "bacterial LSU rRNA". It matches the Rfam family "Bacterial large subunit ribosomal RNA", at positions 1634 to 2874 of the family's 2925-position model. The record is from RNAcentral.